UACGUAGGGGGCAAGCGUUGUCCGGAUUUAUUGGGCGUAAAGAGCGUGUAGGCGGCUAGAUAGGUCCGUUGUGAAAACUCGAGGCUCAACCUCGAGACGUCGAUGGAAACCAUCUGGCUAGAGUCCGGAAGAGGAGAGUGGAAUUCCUGGUGUAGCGGUGAAAUGCGUAGAUAUGCGGAGGAACACCGAUGGCGAAGGCAAUCCCCUGGGCCUGCACUGACGCUCAUGCACGAAAGCGUGGGGAGCGAACAGG
Molecule: ribosomal RNA, 253 nt
Filed under: uncultured bacterium
Lineage: Bacteria
Description: partial 16S ribosomal RNA
Rfam family: Bacterial small subunit ribosomal RNA
Source: RNAcentral